Molecule: ribosomal RNA, 498 nt
Filed under: uncultured bacterium
Lineage: Bacteria
Description: partial 16S ribosomal RNA
Rfam family: Bacterial small subunit ribosomal RNA
Source: RNAcentral
AUUGAACGCUGGCGGCAUGCCUUACACAUGCAAGUCGAACGGUAACGCGGGGCAACCUGGCGACGAGUGGCGAACGGGUGAGUAACGCAUCGGAACGUGCCCAGUAGUGGGGGAUAGCCCGGCGAAAGCCGGAUUAAUACCGCAUACGACCUAAGGGUGAAAGGGGGGGAUCGCAAGACCUCUCGCUAUUGGAGCGGCCGAUGUCAGCUUAGGUAGUUGGUGGGGUAAAGGCCUACCAAGCCGACGAUCUGUAGCUGGUCUGAGAGGACGACCAGCCACGCUGGGACUGAGACACGGCCCAGACUCCUACGGGAGGCAGCAGUGGGGAAUUUUGGACAAUGGGCGCAAGCCUGAGCCAGCCAUGCCGCGUGCGGGAAGAAGGCCUUCGGGUUGUAAACCGCUUUUGUCAGGGAAGAAAUCCUUUGGGUUAAUACCUCGGGGGGAUGACGGUACCUGAAGAAUAAGCACCGGCUAACUACGUGCCAGCCGCCGCCGUAA